This 434-nucleotide ribosomal RNA is filed under the name uncultured Pseudobutyrivibrio sp. Its description in RNAcentral is "partial 16S ribosomal RNA". It matches the Rfam family "Bacterial small subunit ribosomal RNA", at positions 341 to 792 of the family's 1533-position model. Lineage: Bacteria; Bacillati; Bacillota; Clostridia; Lachnospirales; Lachnospiraceae. The record is from RNAcentral.
ACGGGAGGCAGCAGUGGGGAAUAUUGCACAAUGGGCGAAAGCCUGAUGCAGCGACGCCGCGUGAGCGAUGAAGUAUUUCGGUAUGUAAAGCUCUAUCAGCAGGGAAGAUAAUGACGGUACCUGACUAAGGAGCACCGGCUAAAUACGUGCCAGCAGCCGCGGUAAUACGUAUGGUGCAAGCGUUAUCCGGAUUUACUGGGUGUAAAGGGAGCGUAGGCGGAACUUUAAGUCUGAUGUGAAAGCCCGGGGCUCAACUCCGGUACUGCAUUGGAAACUGGAGUUCUAGAGUGUCGGAGGGGUAAGUGGAAUUCCUAGUGUAGCGGUGAAAUGCGUAGAUAUUAGGAGGAACACCAGUGGCGAAGGCGGCUUACUGGACGAUUACUGACGCUGAGGCUCGAAAGCGUGGGGAGCAAACAGGAUUAGAUACCCUGGUA